GGGGGCUCGUCCGGGAUAGAGACCCCCACCCAGGGACCACCGACCCAUUUUCGGGAGGUAAGCUGGCCAGCGUUUAUGUGUUUUCUUUGUCAUUUGUG
This is a long non-coding RNA of Dipodomys spectabilis (banner-tailed kangaroo rat), 98 nucleotides long. RefSeq lists it as uncharacterized. Lineage: Eukaryota; Metazoa; Chordata; Mammalia; Rodentia; Heteromyidae. The transcript is spliced from 3 exons. The record is from RefSeq and is a predicted model, not a curated record.